Myxocyprinus asiaticus (Chinese sucker) is the source of this 930-nucleotide long non-coding RNA. RefSeq lists it as uncharacterized. The record is from RefSeq and is a predicted model, not a curated record. NCBI's taxonomy places the organism in Eukaryota, Metazoa, Chordata, Actinopteri, Cypriniformes, Catostomidae. The transcript is spliced from 3 exons.
UGCUCUGAAGUAGUCGGCCUUUGAGAGAAACGUGUCCGUGUGUUUACUGGUCAGUUGUGGGCGAGACACAGACCCAUCUGUUUGGCCAUUCCUCGAGUCACUAGAUGCUUUUCACUCCCCGACAGACAACAUCAACACUGAAGUGAAAGUCUACAUCAUUCCAAUGGGAAACCAGUCACACAUUCCCUAUGUCAGAGUCAAGCACAAUCAAUAUAUGGUGACUGAUAAAAAUAUAGGGAUGUCUAAUUGGUCCGCUGACUACUUCAACAUGACUGCUGGAGUGGGAUUAAUGGUUUCCCAGGAUGUUUUGCCUUCCGUGUUGCCAGAUAACACAUUCCACAGGCAGUUAAGUGCCGUGUUUGACAGACUGGAAUUCACAAUAUGCAAUUCUGCUUGAUAAGCUCUAUCUUCCCCAAACAAAACGGUUAACAUUUCAGAUGGAAAAUUCUUGAAUAAAACUAGUGCCAAAUACACUUCCCAACACAAGUUUGGAAACACUAUGAUAUUUGUAUGUUUGUGAAAGAAAAUUGUUUUAUUUACCAAGGAUGCAUUUAAAUUGAUCAGAAUUUACAUUAAAAUGACUAUUUAAAUAAAUGCUGCAUUUAUAGAUCUUGAGAACCAAAUUAGCACAUUGGAAUAAUUUCUUUAGGAUUACAUUAUUUUCUUAGAAGGCUGAAGUAAUAACUGGGGGGGAAAAAAAAAAAGGGGCUUUGACAUCACAGGUAAAAAUAAAUACAGAUAUUAUUUCAAGUAGUAAUAAUUUACAGCUUUACUAAUGUUUAAUCCUCCUGUGGUGUUGAAAAAAAAAAAUGGCACCUCCCUUUUGUAUUUGCGGUCAUUUUUGACCGGAACGGUCAGAUGUGUAACCCAUUUUGUAAUGAUGAUAAUGAUACCAUUUCUUCCCUGAAGUAAGAACAAUAAAAUUAUGCA